GCAUCUAUGGUGUAACGGAUAGCACAAGAGACUUCUAAUCUCUAAGUCUAAGUUCAAAUCUUAGUAGAUGUA
This 72-nucleotide transfer RNA is filed under the name Bacteroidota bacterium. RNAcentral describes it as "tRNA-Arg". It matches the Rfam family "tRNA". Rfam says of the family: Transfer RNA (tRNA) molecules are approximately 80 nucleotides in length. Their secondary structure includes four short double-helical elements and three loops (D, anti-codon, and T loops). RNAcentral also lists the same sequence under 2 other names. Lineage: Bacteria; Pseudomonadati; Bacteroidota. The record is from RNAcentral.